CGGGGCAUGGCGCAGUCCGGUAGCGCGCGUCGUUCGGGACGACGAGGUCGCUGGUUCAAAUCCGGCUGCCCCGA
RNAcentral lists this transfer RNA (74 nucleotides) under Salinibacter ruber. RNAcentral describes it as "tRNA-Pro". It matches the Rfam family "tRNA". Rfam says of the family: Transfer RNA (tRNA) molecules are approximately 80 nucleotides in length. Lineage: Bacteria; Pseudomonadati; Rhodothermota; Rhodothermia; Rhodothermales; Salinibacteraceae. RNAcentral also lists the same sequence under 1 other name. The record is from RNAcentral.